RNAcentral lists this microRNA precursor (105 nucleotides) under Marmota monax (woodchuck). The record is from RNAcentral. Lineage: Eukaryota; Metazoa; Chordata; Mammalia; Rodentia; Sciuridae.
AGUGGGAUAGCUGGGUCAAAUGGUGGUUCCAUUCUAAGUUUUCUGAGGAAUCUCCAUAUUGCUUUCUAAAGUGAUUACACCAAUUUGCACAUUCCCACCAGCAAU